RNAcentral lists this ribosomal RNA (594 nucleotides) under Triticum aestivum (bread wheat). Its description in RNAcentral is "partial small subunit ribosomal RNA". Lineage: Eukaryota; Viridiplantae; Streptophyta; Magnoliopsida; Poales; Poaceae. The record is from RNAcentral.
AUGGGGACGCGGGAGGUGUACGAGGAGAAGCUCCGCAGCGGCGCGCACCUCCACCGCGACCCCACCAUCAACCCCGGCCUCGGCUCCGCCCGCUGCCCCCGCUGCCUCUCCCUCCUCAACCCCGCCACCAGCUCCGUACGUACUCCCCAACCCCCCUUCCCCCCCUCUCCCGAUUCCUCCUCCUCCAUCUGCCCCGCGGUUCGUUCUGACCGGAUGUUUGUGCUUUUCGCUUGGACGGCCGCGCAGGGAGGGCGCGACUGGGCCAUCACCUCCGUCCUGCACGACGCCACCGCCGUGACUGGUUCUGGCGCCGGCGCGAUGCUCAGUGCGGUGCACGGGUUUAAUACAGGGAUCCCGUUUGUCCAGAAGCAUGUCAAGGGGCCCAAGUGGCUGCACUUACUUGUUGGGGUCCCUCCUUUGAUCUUAUUCUCUGGUGCCAGUGCUUUAUUUGGGGCAUAUGCGCUCCCAACGUUUGCCCAGCUCACUGUGACAUCCUAUUAUGCUGCAUCAAGUGCCUCUCACUACGCAGUUUCACAGAUCACACGCCACAUCGAGAAGGCCCAUUUAUCUGGCGCUCCUGACGAGAAGACUUGA